Molecule: long non-coding RNA, 1313 nt
Organism: Esox lucius (northern pike)
Lineage: Eukaryota; Metazoa; Chordata; Actinopteri; Esociformes; Esocidae
Source: Ensembl
GCAGAUACUGUCUGGACCAAUUUAUAGGAGCAAUUUGUUUUAAAACUGUCUUGCUCGAGUACGAAUGUCAGAUAAUUUCACCUUUCAGUUAUUGCUCAGAUCCUCUAACGGCUGUAAAAACUGAAAUGUAAAUAGCUGAUCAAUAGGUACAUUUUAAGUGGAUAAAAAAAACUGGGAUUUGACUGAAUGUCUUUUGACUGUUAUCGGAUGCGAAUGUAAGUGUGAAUUGCUGCGGUACAGGAACAUGGACGACGUUUCUUCUUUGACUCUCCCCCUUUGCGCUCAGCUGAAUCCGGCCACAGCAGUCAUUAUCUUCAAGAGACUUCGUAAUCAAAACCGCCCGGCGCUACACUGGUCUAAGACUUUACAGGAAGACAAGACGCCUGAUUUGAAAUGAAUGUCGCUGCUCCUUGAUUGUAAUCUGGUUGUGUUUACAUGGCUGUGGACCAUGGAUGUGUACAUGCUCUGAACACGGCCUUGAAUUUUAUAUGAGGAAGUCUGUCUGUGUAGGUGAGGCGUUUCGGUACGCGCGUGUUGUCAACAGACCUGAGUUCAAAUACUACUUGAUGUCACAAACAGUACUGGAUGUGGUCUUGAUUGGGCUGGCCACAUUAGAACCAAUGGAAUGGUCACAUUGAGUGCUUGUCCCACCCACCUGGCUCUCUAAGUAGACUGGAGCAAACAUGACAAGGAAUUUAAACGAUUUCAAGUACCGUUUGAACUCAUGUUUUUUUUUUUAAACCGUGUACUAUCCAAAUAUUUAUCAAAUAUCAAAGAAAGCCAUGGAUGUAUUUUUCUUCUUUUUUUUGUAGAUUGGACAAGCAUUUGACUCAAGGUUUGGUGAUCACUAUUCCAUGGAGGAUUACUGAUGAGGAUUAAAGGAAAGCACGACCGAAUCAAAGCUGAUGUUAUUUGGAAUGACAAGACCCUGAAUCCAGUCAGUCAAUCAGAAAUUAAACUCUUGUCAAAUGGCGCCCUUUACAUUUACCUCAGCUGAGGUGUAUGUAAACCUGUAGUUAGUGCACUACUUUUGACCCUAGACUUGGGCGAAAGAACGUGCCGGAAGGCUCUCUGGUUAAAGCUAGUGCACUCUGUUGGGAACGAGGUGCCAUUUGGAAUAUGUUCUUCCAACUUUCCUUCCGGUCCUAACCGGUCCAAAUGUAACUGCAUUGGUGCUCGCAUUGUUGACCACGUGCCUUUGGUUCUGCAUUAAGUUGGUCAUUCUACCAGUUGUGCUAUGUACCCCGGUUCUGUUCUAUGUACCCCGGUUCUGUUCUAUGUACCCCGGUUCUGUUCUAUGUAACCCGGUUCUG